This 2654-nucleotide long non-coding RNA is filed under the name Equus caballus (horse). RNAcentral describes it as "lncRNA (ENSECAG00000045758.1)". The record is from RNAcentral. Lineage: Eukaryota; Metazoa; Chordata; Mammalia; Perissodactyla; Equidae.
AUCAGGACCCAGUGAGGUGGGCUGCUCCAGAUGGCGGCAUGGCCCCCACCCGGCCCCUCUGCUCCUGACACCGGGAAUCAUCCACAGGGCCAGGAGAGCAGCACCCAGUGUGGCGUGACCCCCGAUCUCCCGCCGAGUGCCCCCCUCCCCCUUGACGCCCCGCUCCUGGGGGGUGUUCUACAGGAAGGGCCCAAAGAGGGCGGUCCGACCUGCCAGACCACAUUCCAAGAGAGCAGGCUCCAGGAGCAGAGCCCUGUCUGGGUUCUCAGGCCCGCACCGAGCAGGCGCUUCACGUCGAUGGCCCCCGUGGUGACUCCAGGUUAGCUGUCUUCCCUCGAUGCCAGACCCCAGAGCUGGCGCAGAGAAGGACGGCCAAGAGAGCUCAGCGUCCUGGAACUUGUGUUUGAGUCUCCACUCGGCUCCUUUCCCGGCUGUGUGGCCUCAGGGAAGUUACUUACCCUUUCCGAGCCUUGGGUUCUGGGGGUCAUCGUCUGCCUCCCAGAGUGGUUGUGAGGAUUACACGGGCAAUGAGACAGAAUUAGCAGCCGUCGGCCACUUCAGACGAGUGAUUAGAAGGAUGUCAUGGUCAGGGCUGCGUGGGGAGGGGCAAGAUGAAGAUGAGGCUCUGUCUCCCUCCUCUCGCUGGAGGGAUCAGCGAGGUGCGGGAGGGGUGGUGGGAAUGGGGCUCACAGGUCUCCAGCCUCACGGUGAGGGAAGGCCUCACUCCCCUCAGACCCCACGGCAGGGUCGAAUUCAUUCAUUCAUUCGACAGACACCUAGUAAGCGCCUCUUAAAUGUCAAAUACUAUUCGGGCACUGAGACUGUAGCAAUUGACAAAGUCCCUGCCACUCUGGCUUUCGUCUUCCGCUCAGGGAAGACAGAAAGUAAGCAAAAGACUACAACUAGUAGAGGACAUAUGUCAGGGAAUGUUCAGGCCUGCGAAGAACAGCAAAGCAGAGUCGGGGGAUUGUUUUACAAAGGGGGGUCAGGGAGGUCCUCUCGGAUCAGCCAACUGGUGAGCAGAGACCUGUGUGUCCUGAGAAGAUAAGCCCUGGGGAUGCAGAGAGGAAGAGUCUCCUAGACAGCAGGAACAGCAGGUGCAAAGGCCCUGCGGCUGGCAUUUGGGGCCAGCACUGCUGUCACCAAUGCUGUUCAGGAAGUGCUUCCUGUAAGCAAGGCUCUGGCUGUGCCCGGAUUCAAGCACACACACAGACUGAAGCCUUGGAAAGGGAAAGCUUGGAUGCUGGUCUGGUUCUGCUGUGUGACAAAGACAGCUUCUUUUCCCUCUCUGGGCUCUAGUUCUCUUUCUGCACAUUGAAGAGUUGGCCUGAGCUUGAAGGGUGGCCUCUAAGGUGUGUGAGCUUAAAAUCUAGAGGCCAGCAAACGGGCCUGUGGGGUGCAGAUCAGGAGUGGAGUGGAGAGCGAAGGGAAACCACCCUCACCAAGGUGGGACAUGAACCGUCGCUACUCAGAGGUGGCAGAGCGAUGCCCCAUGGCGCCCUAGACUCCAGCCCCUCGCUCUCCCUGGUUUCAGCUGCUGCAGGAACAAGCAGCAGAGUGGGCAGAAGUGGCUGCACAGAGCUCUCCCAGGGUCCCCUGCGGGUCCAGGGGACAGCCAUUGGUGCAGUUUCCUCCGAGCAGGCCUGGUACCCGAAAGCCACUUUGUCUGCCUGGGUGUUGCUGGGAGCUGCCCCGGCGUUCCUGGAAAUCCAGCCAGCCACUGGCAAGCACGGGGACAAGCAAGGGCUUGCUCUGGGAGGCCCUCCAAGCCGGGGCCGGCCCCCUCCCAGGGGCACUUGCAGCUGCCCACGAAGACCAGCGGGUCCCGCCUCUCAGCUUGAGCAGCCUUGCCUUGAGGAAGCUCCCCAUGCUCCGAGCUGAAGCUUCUUCAUCCGGGGAGCUGAGAAAAGCCUCACUUGUGUCGGGUGAAGCCAGACUUAAGUGACACCAGGCGCAUGGAAAGCCCUUGGUGAAUUUGGUGGUCCUAGGACCGCAUUGGUUUCCUCUGCAAAAAGGACCAGGACCCAGGCUGGGGCCCCGGACUCCUUCCUCUGCCCUCUCCGCCUGCCUACCACCCUGUCCGUCCCUUUCACUUACCUUGUGGCCUUAGGUUUUCACAGCUGGGUGCGUUCGCUUCAAGGAGCUGUGCCAGGCCCCUUAAAUCAGAGCUUCUCAAACUUUGACACGCAUGUGACUCACCUGGGGACCUUGCUAGUGUGAGCGCUCUGGUUUGGCAAGCCUGGGGUGGCACUUGAGAUCUAGCUAUUUCUACCCAGCUCCUGAUAUUAAAGAAAAAACUAUUCGAGGACAUUUGUUGAGAGGAUUCUUGCUAAGACUGGACGACGCAGAAGUGGACGUGCAAGUCCGAAAGUCAAGGCUUGGCUGAGAAGGAGCUCUGGGGAGUCUGAGUAGACUUUGGUCCGGGAGAGAAUCUUUGUAACCGGUGACACUGAUGCUGCGCGUCCAGGGGCCACUCUUUCAGUAGGAGACCACAGACACCUGAAAGUCAGCAUGGUAGAGACGGAGUUCUGUAUCUUCCCUUCCACGCCCUCUCCUGCCCUUGUCCUGUAUUCCCCACCAUUCUCUUCCUCUCAAGGACUUUUCCAAAAAAGUCAACUUUAUUGAGGUGUAAUUUAUACGCAAUAAAAAUAAAC